CUGAAAUCAAGGCUGGGCUCCUAUCUGAAGGCUCUGGAGAAGAGUCUGCCUCCAAACUCAGAUGGAUUGUUGGCAGAAUUCAGUUCCUGGUGGUUGUUGCCAGCGGUUGUUUUCAGAAACUAGAAGCAGCUCUCCAGUCCUUGCACGUGUUCCCCUCCAUCUUCAGGUUUGUAUUUUGUAGAAAUGAGAAACUGAUUACAUCUGCUUAUUUGGACAGUGAAUGGAACCACAUAUUCUGCCUGUUGGCAAACACCAAAUCUGUAUAGUUUAUUUUCUUCAAAGGGAAUCAUGAUUGCCAACAAUCACUCAGCACCAACAAUUUACUGAAUGUUUAUCUGCCUGCAUUCUUCUUGUGGCUGGAAAUGUAGCAGUGAACCAGACCGAGACCCUGAUCCGCUGGGUAUAUAGCUGGGGGAGUCAGACAUUCAUGAAAAUGACUUCUAGUGCCACAGAUAUUUCAAAAGAUGCAGUAAAGAGUUCUGUGGGUCUGAAUGAUAUGGUGUGCUAACCAAAUAUGUGAAGGUGGCGAAGGUCUCCUAGAAGAAUUGGUGCAAAACUUGAGUCUCAAAGGAUGAGCUGGGUGAGGAGUUGGGCACAGUAUUCUGGGCAGUGGGAACAUCAUGGACAGAAGCCUGAAUGCAGCGGAGAGACUGACUCACUUGUGGGCAUGAAGGAGAUCAGCAUGACUGGAUUGGAGCUCACUUCCUGGUGUUUUCACCUCAUUGCAUCCCUGGUUGGUUUCUGUUGCUUGCAAUGAAAGAACCCUUACAAAUGCAAUAAUGCAGAAGUAACAAUGAAGAUGACACUGAUUCACACAAGAUUUAAUUUGUUACAUGAGUAAAUAAACAAAGCAAAAUGAACAGAAUUUACUAUACUGCAUCCCUGCUGGGAGUAUGUUGAGCUAUCUGGCCUGGAAGGCCUUUGUGACCUGUUGAAAGAAUAUACAUGGAUUUACUUCAGGAGAAAAAUAAAGUGUUAUUUUAAAAAUGGAUCAUGUUCAUUGUAAUUAAGAAU
Molecule: long non-coding RNA, 1014 nt
Filed under: Homo sapiens (human)
Lineage: Eukaryota; Metazoa; Chordata; Mammalia; Primates; Hominidae
Description: HSALNT0308771
Source: RNAcentral